RNAcentral lists this long non-coding RNA (236 nucleotides) under Mytilus galloprovincialis (Mediterranean mussel). The record is from RNAcentral. Lineage: Eukaryota; Metazoa; Mollusca; Bivalvia; Mytilida; Mytilidae.
AACUUAUUUGUAGAUCUUACUUUGCUGAUCAUUUUUGCUGUUUACAGUUUAUCUUUAUCUAUAAUAAUAUUCAAGAUAAUGACCAAAAACUGCAAAAUUUCCUUAAAAUUACCAAUUAAGUGGCAGCAACCCAACAAUGGUUUGUUUGAUUCAUCUGAAAAUUUCAGGGCUGAUAGAUCUUGACCUAAUGAACAUUUUUACCCCAUGUCAGAUUUGCUCUAAAUGCUUUCGUUUUU